CAAAGGUUCCUACUGAAGGCCUCAAAAUUAUCUGUCUGAAGACUACUCAUUACCAUAAGGGAGGAGGAUCUUGGUGUUUCCAGAAAGCAGAUGUGUCAAUGGGAGUUAAAUGUCACCAACUACCUUUGGCUGAUUAAACUAUGUUUUGCUACAUCUGAUACAAUUCACCUGAGUCUUGAAAGGUCCUGCUCCUCAUUGUCAAGCAUUGAAUUCUCAUCGACAUUGAAGUUAUCCACCAACAAUUUUAUCUGGUAGCACAGGCAUCCCCACUUCCAUGGAUGAGUGGCUGAGACGCAGCUAUCAAAGGAAAUUUAUGAAGAGAUUUUGGAAUGUCUGAGGUGGCUACAUUCAGAGAAGAGACCAACAACAUAGAAUCUGGCAGAGAUUCACAAAGAAAUAAAGGAGGAUUUUCAGAUCUUCUCA
Molecule: long non-coding RNA, 423 nt
Filed under: Anser brachyrhynchus (Pink-footed goose)
Lineage: Eukaryota; Metazoa; Chordata; Aves; Anseriformes; Anatidae
Description: lncRNA (ENSABRG00000001375.1)
Source: RNAcentral